Molecule: small RNA, 1743 nt
Filed under: Pongo abelii (Sumatran orangutan)
Lineage: Eukaryota; Metazoa; Chordata; Mammalia; Primates; Hominidae
Description: processed transcript
Source: RNAcentral
CUGCGCCGACCGGACGGCCGGACUCCAGCGCCUUGGCCCGGCCCGCGAACUCUGAGCACUCGCGGAAAUCCUUUAAAGAUAGGAAGUGAAAUCAAAUGGAUGUUGGAGGUGGAAUGAAGUUUUUCAUAUUCCUGACCUUUGGAGAAAGUUUGAAUUUGAACUGAACCAGUCAGCUACUUCAUAUUUUAAGUCCACUCAUCCUGAUCUCAUUCAGCAGAUCAUUAAAAAGCAUUCUGCUCAUCUUCAAUAUGUCAGCUUUAAGGUUGACAGUAGCGCUGAGUCAGCAGAAGCUGCCUGUGAUAUACUCUCUCAGCUGGUAAAUUGUUCCGUCCAGACCUUGGGCUUGAUUUCAACAGCCAAGCCAAGUUUCAUGAAUGUGUCAGAGUCUCGUUUUGUGUCAGCACUUACAGUUGUUUUUAUCAACUCAAAAUCAUUAUCAUCAAUCAAAAUUGAAGAUACACCAGUGGAUGAUCCUUCAUUGAACAUUCUUGUAGCCAAUAAUAGUGACACUCUAAGACUCCUAAAAAUGAGUAGCUGUCCUCAUGUUUCAUCUGAUGGUGGGUUACAUUUUUUAAAGCUAGAAUGAUAUGAUAUUUUUAUUACAAUAACUAUAAAGAUGCAAUUUCCUUUUGAAAAUUAUAUGCCUAUGAAGCAUAAAUUAUUUAAGUAAGUUUUUUCAAAAGAUUUCUUAAUCCGCAAGGUAGGUAUAGUUAUAGUAAGUUUCUCCUGAGAUAUUUUAAUUUUACAUAUAUACAUAUGCUUUUCAUUAUAUACAUAAUACCUCCUGGCAGCCAUGCUCUCAGAAGUUAUUAGAUAGCUAUUUUCACAAAUAAUGAAUAAUUAAUAUCAAAUUUAAAUUUACAAAAUAUUGUAUUAGGAUCAGUAUGAUUCUUUGUUCUUAAGAAUUUUCCCCAACUUCCCACAGGAAUUCUUUGUGUAGCUGAUCACUGUCAAGGCCUUAGAGAACUGGCAUUGAAUUAUUACAUCCUAACUGAUGAACUUCUCCUUGCACUCUCAAGCGAGAUUCAUGUUAACCUUGAACAUCUUCAAAUUGAUGUUGUCAAAGAUUUGAUUGUUUGCAAACUGUCUUAAUGGAUUGCUGCAGAAACAUUUGAAAAAAAAUAAGAAAUUUGAAAAGCAAGAAAUUGCUGUAAAUAGGGCACAAGCCCUGUACGUGGAUUAGAUGGUCGAUAUGCCAAAAACUACAGAUGGUUUCUAAGCAGAUUUCUCAGCUUUCCUUGGAGGCAUAUUGUAGCUUGCUAAGUUUUAUCAUUUUGAAAGAAGUACAAUAUCUCCUUGUAUAGAACCUGCAUUAAAUAAAUGAGCAUCAACAUCUCCAGUAGGCACCCCAGGUGUAGACUCCACCUCUCCUACCUCUUCCAGAUAUUCGAACACCAUUAUUGAUAGCAUUUUUGUUUUGAUAAGGUUUCUCCUGGCCCACAAUCAUUCCAGUGAAUGGUGCAUACACAGUAGAUCCAGCAGAGCACAAGACGUCCACACCCUGGUGAGGCCUCUGACUUCUAGAAUGCAAGUAAGAAUGAACAGACUGAGGAACUGCCUUAGGGGAGCUUUACUGCCUGGGAACAUGUUGUUAUCCCACUGUUUCCAGACGAGAUACCAAAGCUUGAAGCUGCCAGAACAUGUUGGGAUGUCCCAGGAUGCCUCACUCUAUUUAGCCCAAUUUUAACCUCCUUCUCCGCAGGUGCUAAUAACCAUGUUAUAAAGAUGAAAGCAUUUAAAAUG